Potamilus streckersoni is the source of this 70-nucleotide non-coding RNA. Lineage: Eukaryota; Metazoa; Mollusca; Bivalvia; Unionida; Unionidae. The record is from the annotation of a GenBank genome assembly.
ACUCCGAUGGCCUAGUGGUUAAAGCGUCCGCCUUGGAUGCGGGAGGUCACGGAGAACCCCGGUCGAAUCA